Daphnia carinata is the source of this 702-nucleotide long non-coding RNA. RefSeq lists it as uncharacterized. The record is from RefSeq and is a predicted model, not a curated record. The transcript has 2 exons. NCBI's taxonomy places the organism in Eukaryota, Metazoa, Arthropoda, Branchiopoda, Diplostraca, Daphniidae.
AUUCGUCAUGGCCUUAGGUGGGUAAACCUUCUACAGGAGGCAGGGUAAGAAAAAUUUUCAUGGCCGUAUAAAAGGAGUGGAGGAAAGGAAACAAAACAUUUUUGCAUAAUACUCAUCAGUUUGUGAAAAAUAUCAACCCCAGUGGAAAGCAAUGCGAGGCCAACGAUUUUUUUCUGAAAACCCGGGGAGAGAGUUAGGAAUAUCGGAAAGGAUGUAAUUUGACGAUACUUUUGCAGAACGGUUGAAAAUCCAAGGCAACAGAGACAGGACAGAAGAUGUUGCUGCUUACAGACAAAACGAAAGGAAAAAAAUGCUACGUGUUACAUAUAUUUCAAUGGUUCCUUUGCGAGAAAUGCUCCAACACUGAGAGUAUACAUGCGACAUAAAUCAGCGCACCGUUAUUGUCAAGUAUGAAUCUUUGAGAUCAAUUAUUGAUUGUUUUUAAAGGGGGUUACACUACUGAGGAAAUUGUUUGUUUUGUUUUGUUUUUUUUCAAAUCAAGAACUCAUGUUUGGUUCUCUGCACAAGUAGUUCACCCCAUUUAUUUUUAUUAAAUCGUGUCAAAAUUUGUGGAGCAAAGGAUAUCCAACGUAAAGUAAAACCAUGAUAGCGUCAAAUUGUUUUCACCGAGAUCACAACCAUAUAUUUAUAUAUUUAUUUAUAUGCAUAUAUAUAUGGGAAAGAGAGAGAGAGAGAGAGAGA